AACGAACGCUGGCGGCAUGCCUAAUACAUGCAAGUCGAACGAGAUCUUCGGAUCUAGUGGCGCACGGGUGCGUAACGCGUGGGAAUCUGCCCUUGGGUUCGGAAUAACGUCGGGAAACUGACGCUAAUACCGGAUGAUGACGAAAGUCCAAAGAUUUAUCGCCCAGGGAUGAGCCCGCGUAGGAUUAGCUAGUUGGUGAGGUAAAGGCUCACCAAGGCUACGAUCCUUAGCUGGUCUGAGAGGAUGAUCAGCCACACUGGGACUGAGACACGGCCCAGACUCCUACGGGAGGCAGCAGUAGGGAAUAUUGGACAAUGGGGGCAACCCUGAUCCAGCAAUGCCGCGUGAGUGAUGAAGGCCUUAGGGUUGUAAAGCUCUUUUACCCGAGAUGAUAAUGACAGUAUCGGGAGAAUAAGCUCCGGCUAACUCCGUGCCAGCAGCCGCGGUAAUACGGAGGGAGCUAGCGUUGUUCGGGAUUACUGGGCGUAAAGCGCACGUAGGCGGCGAUUUAAGUCAGAGGUGAAAGCCCGGGGCUCAACCCCGGAACUGCCUUUGAGACUGGAUUGCUUGAAUCCUGGAGAGGUGAGUGGAAUUCCGAGUGUAGAGGUGAAAUUCGUAGAUAUUCGGAAGAACACCAGUGGCGAAGGCGGCUCACUGGACAGGUAUUGACGCUGAGGUGCGAAAGCGUGGGGAGCAAACA
This 700-nucleotide ribosomal RNA is filed under the name uncultured Alphaproteobacteria bacterium. RNAcentral describes it as "bacterial SSU rRNA". It matches the Rfam family "Bacterial small subunit ribosomal RNA", at positions 28 to 774 of the family's 1533-position model. The record is from RNAcentral. Lineage: Bacteria; Pseudomonadati; Pseudomonadota; Alphaproteobacteria.